CCUACGGGAGGCAGCAGUGGGGAAUAUUGCGCAAUGGGCGAAAGCCUGACGCAGCGACGCCGCGUGAGGGAUGAAGGUCUUCGGAUCGUAAACCUCUGUCAGCAGGGAAGAACGGUCACUGUGCUAAUCAGCAGUGAAUUGACGGUACCUGCAAAGGAAGCACCGGCUAACUCCGUGCCAGCAGCCGCGGUAAUACGGAGGGUGCGAGCGUUGAUCGGAAUUACUGGGCGUAAAGCGCUCGUAGGCGGUAUGUCAAGUCAGAGGUGAAAUCCCCGGGCUCAACGUGGGAACGUCCUUUGAAACUGGCAAACUUGAGUGUGUGAGAGGAGAGUGGAAUUCCAGGUGUAGGAGUGAAAUCCGUAGAUAUCUGGAGGAACAUCAGUGGCGAAGGCGACUAUCUGGCACAUAACUGACGCUGAGGAGCGAAAGCGUGGGUAGCAAACAGGAUUAGAUACCCGAGUAGUC
This 465-nucleotide ribosomal RNA is filed under the name uncultured bacterium. RNAcentral's name for it is "partial 16S ribosomal RNA". It matches the Rfam family "Bacterial small subunit ribosomal RNA", at positions 338 to 795 of the family's 1533-position model. The record is from RNAcentral.